RNAcentral lists this ribosomal RNA (253 nucleotides) under uncultured bacterium. RNAcentral describes it as "partial 16S ribosomal RNA". It matches the Rfam family "Bacterial small subunit ribosomal RNA", at positions 524 to 776 of the family's 1533-position model. The record is from RNAcentral.
GACGAAGGUGACGACCGUUGCUCGGAAUCACUGGGCCUAAAGCGCGCGUAGGUGGCUUGGUAAGUCCAUGGUGAAAUCCCUCGGCUCAACCGAGGAACUGCCGUGGAUACUGCCGAGCUUGAGUACGGGAGGGGUGAAUGGAACUCUCGGUGUAGCGGUGAAAUGCGUAGAUAUCGAGAGGAACGCCGGUGGCGAAAGCGAUUCACUGGACCGUAACUGACACUGAGGCGCGAAAGCUAGGGGAGCAAACAGG